ACGUGGAUUAUCUGCCCCAAUGACCGGGACAACCCGAGGAAACUCGAGCUAAUACCGGAUGUGCUCUUCGGAGGAAAGGAAGCUUCGGCCUCCGCAUUGGGAUGAGUCCGCGGCGCAUUAGCUAGUUGGUGGGGUAAAGGCCUACCAAGGCGACGAUGCGUAGCUGGUCUGAGAGGACGAUCAGCCACACUGGAACUGAGACACGGUCCAGACUCCUACGGGAGGCAGCAGUGGGGAAUCUUGCGCAAUGCACGAAAGUGUGACGCAGCAACGCCGCGUGCGGGAAGAAGGUCUUCGGAU
This 300-nucleotide ribosomal RNA is filed under the name uncultured Patulibacteraceae bacterium. RNAcentral's name for it is "bacterial SSU rRNA". It matches the Rfam family "Bacterial small subunit ribosomal RNA", at positions 115 to 423 of the family's 1533-position model. Lineage: Bacteria; Bacillati; Actinomycetota; Thermoleophilia; Solirubrobacterales; Patulibacteraceae. The record is from RNAcentral.